GUCCACGCCGUAAACGAUGGGUACUAGGCGUCGGGGGGAGCGACCCUCUCGGUGCCGUCGCUAACGCAGUAAGUACCCCGCCUGGGGAGUACGGUCGCAAGACUGAAACUCAAAGGAAUUGACGGGGGCCCGCACAAGCGGUGGAGCAUGUGGUUUAAUUCGAAGCAACGCGAAGAACCUUACCUGGGCUUGACAUGCACGGGAAAGCCGGUGGAAACAUCGGCCCCUCUUCGGAGUCCGUGCACAGGUGCUGCAUGGCUGUCGU
RNAcentral lists this ribosomal RNA (265 nucleotides) under uncultured bacterium. RNAcentral's name for it is "partial 16S ribosomal RNA". It matches the Rfam family "Bacterial small subunit ribosomal RNA", at positions 793 to 1055 of the family's 1533-position model. The record is from RNAcentral.